Molecule: ribosomal RNA, 468 nt
Filed under: uncultured bacterium
Lineage: Bacteria
Description: partial 16S ribosomal RNA
Rfam family: Bacterial small subunit ribosomal RNA
Source: RNAcentral
GACGAACGCUGGCGGCGUGCUUAACACAUGCAAGUCGAACGGAAAGGCCAUGCUUUUGUGGGGUGCUCGAGUGGCGAACGGGUGAGUAACACGUGAGUAACCUGCCCUUGACUUUGGGAUAACUUCAGGAAACUGGGGCUAAUACCGGAUCGGAGCUCCUGCUGCAUGGAGGGGGUUGGAAAGUUUCGGCGGUUGGGGAUGGACUCGCGGCUUAUCAGCUUGCUGGUGGGGUAGUGGCUUACCACGGCUUUGACGGGUAGCCGGCCUGAGAGGGUGACCGGCCACAUUGGGACUGAGAUACGGCCCAGACUGCUACGGGAGGCAGCAGUGGGGAAUAUUGCACAAUGGGCGGAAGCCUGAUGCAGCAGCGCCGCGUGCGGGAUGACGGCCUUCGGGUUGUAAACCGCUUUCGCCUGUGACGAAGCGUGAGUGACGGUAAUGGGUAAAGAAGCACCGGCUAACUACGUG